This is a long non-coding RNA of Phyllostomus hastatus (greater spear-nosed bat), 4145 nucleotides long. RefSeq lists it as uncharacterized. The record is from RefSeq and is a predicted model, not a curated record. The transcript has 8 exons. NCBI's taxonomy places the organism in Eukaryota, Metazoa, Chordata, Mammalia, Chiroptera, Phyllostomidae.
CCUUCUAUAAAACUUCAUCUGAAGUAAUGAAAGUUGUUAGACUCAUAUCUCUUCUAGUGUUUUUCAGCUACACUAAAUGUCAAACUCUUCUGGGAAGUUUCCUAGAUGCAGGUAGGAAAUCCUAUUUACAGUCUAUGAAUUCUGCAUGCCAGGUGUAAGACUCAAUGAUUACUGAAGUGCAUAUGGAAAGAUUUAUCUUUCCCAGUGUGGAUCACUGACAAUAGGGUCAUUGAAAAUUGCUGGACAUUAACUUGUGGAAUGAAUAAAGGAAGAGAGCUAAUAUAUUGAGACAACCCACAGGAAGAGCUCACUCUAGCCUUAAUUUCACUGUAGCCAUACAGCACACUAAUAGCCAGAAUUAUCUGGAGGAGAACUUAAGAGACACAAACCCACUUAUGAAGAAGUACAGACUGUAGUUAAAGAGUUGCUAGGUUUUGUGGAGAAGUGCAAGAAUCUCAACCUACAUGAGCCACCUUCAGAAUGCUCUCACCAGCUGAUGACUACCUUCUUAGAGUGCAUUUGUAAUGACCAAGGAAUGGCUGACAAACAUGUUCUUUCUGACUAUUGCAAGACGAAUAACACAGCAAGACACAAUUCUUCCAAUUAAGUAAAAAAGAUGAUGCAGAUUACAGGGACACCUUCCAAAUUCCAAAUCCUGAGCAGAUCUGUGAGAUGAGCAAGGAGAACCCAGUGUCAGUGAGAAAGAUUUAUAGGUACAUUUAUGAAACUUCUAGAAAGCACCCAUUCUUGUAUGGACCCACUAUUCUGACCAUGUCUAUGUGCUAUGAAACAGCCAGUCUUGUUGCCAAGAAGAAAAUAAGACUGAGUGCUUCCUGAUAAAGCUAGACCCCAUCAGAAAAUACAUUGGAGAUAUAUCUUUGAGGCAUCACCAUUUAUGUGAAAUUGGGAUUAAAUUCAACUGCAAAUUACCAAAAGCAGUAAAGAGAUGUUCCAAAGAGCGGUUCAUGAAAGCCACGGGCAUGUUAAAAAUCACUGUGAUUUACGUGAGAAAGUAGGAGAUAGUAACUUCCACAACAGGCUGAACUAAUUCCUGGAGCUUUAUGCAGAAGACAUGAGGCACAGCCUGUCAACACUGGUGUGGGUCACUGUUGUGAUGACUCUUAUGCCUUCCGGAAGGUAUGAUUUGACGAUCUGCAAGUCGAUGGAACUUACAUUUCUCCACCUUUGUCCUGUGACCAAGUUAUCAGCUUUCAAGAGGACUUGUGCAAAGCUCAGGAGGAGGAAUUCCAAACUAAAAAGCCAAAGUAAGAAUCUUUGUUGAAUUUGUUUUUUAUUGCUAGAAAAAGAGCGGGUAUAGAGAACCAUAAAGUGGGCACAGAUACAUGUACUGCAUAAUGGAUGGAGUAGCUAAAUGUCAUGCUGGAGGUCAAGUAGCACUGAGAAUAUCAUGCAAUUUUGCAAUCGUGGCUAUUGCGGGUGCUACUGCAACUGGAUCAGGUAUUGAGUUUGAAAUCUGUUGAUCAGAAAAUACUGACAGAGAAGUACAUUAAUAUAUUUUUUCCUAAAAUGUGAACUUUGGACAUUAGUUUGAUAAGGGGUCUGGUACGAAUAGGGUUUCAUGAUCAAAUAAGUUUGGGAAUGCUAUAUUUCCUUGCUCUUCUCAUAAUGUAUAUUGUCCAUUACCAAGGAAGUCAAAGUCCUGCAAUAAUCUCUUUAGCUUGUUCUAGCUUAGCACCAUCUGGGCCAUAGAAACUACUAAGAUUCUUCAGGACCAGAAUGCUGAGAAAGUGCUUUGGAACAUUUCAUUACAGUGAUGUGUAUCACUUUAUAGUAUGUAAUUACUUUUGCUACUACUUCCACUGUUAUUAGGAAUGACUAUUUUAUAUAUUUGGAAGAAUGGUUGGGGGAUGAUUACUAGUAGGUGGCAGCUGGGUGAUAUUGUAAUAAUGCCUGUGAAUUCAAUUCCUUGAAUCCUAAUCUCCUUCUCCUCCUGAUCCCCUAGCCCCUGUGAUGCAGUUUCUUGCACUAGAUAAGGCUUUGCAAUAACAUCUCAGAAUAUAAGAAAAUAGGAUAUCAUUAGAAACUCAAAAUACUGGAAAUAAAUACUUAAAUGCCAUAUAUAAUCCUUCUAAAACACAUUGCACAUUUCCUGCUGAAUAUUUCCAGUGCUGGGAAGACUGUUUGCUUAAAGCAGCCUAUUUUUAUCUUUACAUAUGCUUAACUAGUUCACCUUUUUUUAUUAAAUAGGAAUCUAUGUCAUUGCCUCUUCCACUCAAUUUCUACUUCUGGAACUAUAGAGAGAAAUACUUUAUGGACGUUCCAUGAGCUGAGUGAGGCUAGAUCCCUAUUAUUUGACUGCAAACUGAGGGUGAGGUAUGACUGUUAUACUCUUAAUCUGAAGUUGGGCUUCCUGGGGAAGGUGAGAGGAAUGGUGUGCAAUGUUUUCUGAGCUUAUAUACGACCCUGGCAAGGCAUGUCUGUGUGUGUGUGUGUAUUAUGUAUAUGAUAUAAACAUGUAUAAUGCAUACAGAAACAUUUUUAAAUUAGAAAAUUUUAUCAAUAUAAGUUAUUUACAAAGUGCUGUUCUGAUUCAAUAGCUGUUACUGAUACUGAAGCCUGCUGAUCAGAAAUGUUGACAGCAGAAUACCAUGUCUUUAUAUUUGAUCAGAGUUCCCCAGUAUGUGUUCUAUGUAAAAAGGGUUUCCUCAUAAAGUCAGCAACAGGAUUCAGUCCAGUGCUCUUUUCUAUUCUUGCUUUCAUAGCAUGUAUUACAAUAUUUCAUCAUUCCACCAUGUUGCCAACCCUCUUGCCCUCCUGCUAUUGCAUCCCAUUGCCAAAUUUCUUUCCCUUCACCUUUGCUCAUGUAAUAUGUUAGUAUUGCUUCAAAACAAAUGAACCAAAAUGUAGUAACUUAACACAGCAUCAGUUAUUAUUGUUCAAGCAUCUGUGGGUUGAUUGGAUGAGUCUGGUGACCUGAACCAGCCUUAACCAUUCUCAGUGGCAUUGCUCAAGAGUGUAUGGUCAGCGGCUAAAUUAGCUGAGAGCUGGCAGCCUCGGCGAGCAUGGCUUGUCUCUGCUCCAGGUGGCACUCUCUAGCAAGCUAACCCAGGCUUCUAUACACAGUAGCUGGGAAAAGAAGGGGAAGUGUGGAGACCUCAUGGGGCCCAGGUUUAGAACUGUAUAAUGUCAGCUCUGCUGUGAGGCAGGUGAUAGGGCCAGCCCAGACUGAAGGAGUGUGGAAAAGACUUUACCUCUUGAUUAGAAGAAUGGGAAAGUCAUGUUGUAUAGGAUAUGGACACAGAGAAAGGUGGACAAUUGGGUCUAUGUUUGUAAUCAAUCUGCCAUGUGUGAAUCAUUAAUGUAGUUGGUGAUGAAUGUCAGGGUGAAUGUCAGGAUAGGAUGAGAAGUGAGGCAAUUAACUAGGUCUGAGGCCAUCACAAAUGAGGGGCAUGACCAAGCUUCUUACACAUGAUAGGAAUAAAUAGCAAUCAGAUGUUAGAAUUUGAAGACAUACUUUGAAGGAACUAUGACUUUUAAAAGAGGAUGAAGGAGAGAUGUGUUGGAAGCAGUAAGAGAACUAGGUGGUAUGAUAAGGUAAGUAGAGCUCAAGCAAAGAUAGCUUCCUCUUGACAGGCCUUAGGGAAGCCGUGUUCUCUGAGGAGCCAUGUUUUCAUAUGGGACAAGAGAGAGAAGUUAAGAGAAGAGGCUAUAAAUAUAGGGAAGGUUUCUGGUGAGAAAGCCUCAAGUUACAAAGGAGACAUAGGAUGAGUUAGGGUGGACUGGGAGAGCAGGAGAAGGGUCAGAUUAGGGAUAUAGAAACAUCGGUAUGAUGACAGAUGAGCUGGGAGACUUAGAUUGUUGACUGAGGCAUGACCAGCUUGGCCUUGGAAGUAGCACAUGCAGCACACACAACCCUAGGCCAGCUGUUCUUGCCCUUGUUUACUGACAACUCACAGAAUGUGGACAUUUCCCCCAACUCCCCCUAUGACAUCCACAUGGAUGGAUUAAAUGAACACUAUCAGUCUUAGAAAAGAGGCUGCUGCAGACAAAGAAAUGUCCUUCUUAGUGGCAUUAAUCACCUCCAUCCUGUUACAGGGUGCAGCCAAGAGGGGGGACCCCAAAUGGGCAUUUGAAAUGGGGUCCAGAACUUAAGGUGUCCAGGAGAUUUUAAGAUGUCUCCAAAC